CCGUAGCUCAGUCGGAUAGAGCACCAGAUUCCUAAUCUGGGGGCCGCAGGUUCAAAUCCUGCCGGGC
RNAcentral lists this transfer RNA (67 nucleotides) under marine eukaryotic metagenome. It matches the Rfam family "tRNA", at positions 5 to 66 of the family's 71-position model. From Rfam's summary of the family: Transfer RNA (tRNA) molecules are approximately 80 nucleotides in length. Their secondary structure includes four short double-helical elements and three loops (D, anti-codon, and T loops). The record is from RNAcentral.